Callithrix jacchus (white-tufted-ear marmoset) is the source of this 6746-nucleotide non-coding RNA. Lineage: Eukaryota; Metazoa; Chordata; Mammalia; Primates; Cebidae. The record is from RefSeq and is a predicted model, not a curated record.
CAUAGGCACACCUGGGUGUGCACGUGUGUAUAUCACAGGUAGGCACACCUGGGCGUGCACGUGUGUAUAUCAUAGGUAGGCACACCUGGGCGUGCAUGUGUGUAUAACGUAUGUAGGCACACCUGGGUGUGCACGUGUAUAUGACAGGCACACCUGAGCGUGCACGUGUGUAUAUCAUAGGCACACCUGGGUGUGCACGUGUGUAUAACGUAGGCACACCUGGGCAUGCACGUGUGUAUAUCAUAGGUAGGCACACCUGGGCGUGCAUGUGUAUAACAUGUGGGCACACCUGGGUGUGCACGUGUGUAUAACAUAUGUAAGCACACCUAGCUGUGCACGUUUAUGUAACAUAGGUAAGCAUACAUGCUUAACAUGUAGGCCCACGUGAUCAAAUGCAUUGUUGCCAUUACGACUUUGGACACACGUGUCUCUGGGAUUGGCGGAGAAUCAGAAAGGUUUGUUUUCUCCCUUUGCUUUUUCCUCCUCUAAUGCUCUUCCUGUCUUGGCUCUGAGCGUUACUCUUUCUCUCUGAAGAGCUUCCUUUAGAAUCUCUCCCGGAGCAGGUUUACUGACAACUCCUUCCCUCAAGUUUUGUUUUUCUGAGAAAGCAUUUUUUCUCUUUUGCGUUAAAGGUUAAUUGACAGGUGCAGAAUCCUGGGUGGGCAGUGUUUUCCUGUCUCAACACUUUAAACGUUUCGUUUGUUCUCUUCCUGCAUGUGUGACAUCUGGGAAGGCAGGUGAAGCGUGCAUCUCUGUUCCUCUGCCCCUGAGGAGUGUGUGUGCCUGGCUUGUCACUCCUUCAUUCAGUUUGACCCCAAGUUGUCCCAUAACUGCUUUUGGAGGACAGAGGGGAUGUCACCCGGGGAGCUGCAGUAUGUCGGAUGCCGGCGGGCCACCCCCAAGGGCCUUCUCAGCAAGGCUCUCGUGGAACUGAGGCCAGCUGGAGGGCAGGGCCAGGCAUGCGCCCCAGCUCCUCCUCGGCCCCUCCCACAGUGUGGCUUCCCCUCCCAAACAGAGCAGCUCCCAGUAGCACGACAGCAAUCACGGUGGCUAGCAUGAGGGCAAUGGCGCGUGGGCAGACCCUGCGCCACUCUGAGACUCAUGGGUUAGCAGUUGGGUAGCCUCUGCCUGCACCCCCACAGAGUUCUUAGGGCAAGGGAUGGGCCUGUGUGGGCGUGGGAAGGGCAGUGUGCAAGGAGCUGAGACAGGUGCGUUCAAGUCCUGCUCCCGCACAGGUGAGAGUGGUGUCUGGACAUGGGGGCCAGGGCCUGGGAGCCUGUGCCCCUCGCCAUCCCCCAGUGGGGUGGAUGUAAUGUCCUGGCCUGCAGUUAUGCUCCCACUGCCUGGGUCCUCAGGCGCAUGCGGAAUUUUGAACUUUCACUCCCCGGGGUGGUGCAUGGCAAGAGAGGCCUGGGGUCUGCGCUCACUGUGCCCUGAGAUCUCUGCCAAGGAAUCGUCAUGUCACGCACCCUCCCUUCAGAGCUCAGGAAGCUGAGGCAGGGGAAGCUGACGUUGCCGGAGCUCGCACACUUUGGAGUGGCAGAGCCACCUUCACCUUCCUCCCCUGUGGGGCCCCAGGAGAGCUGCAUGGCUGGGGAACAUAUCGCUGGGUUGGGAGCUCUGGGAUCUGGUGCCAGGGCCCAGGGAAGAAGAGGGAACCCACAGACUGCUCCAGGCUCCUCCACUCCGGGAAGUGCAGGGAAGCUGAAACAGAGCUCACAGAGGGUCUCGGGCGUGAUGGAGAGCGAGACAUGGUGGCAGGGAUGGGGCGGCCAGCACAGGCCUCCCAUCUGCCCUAUGACCAGCCGUCUGCCUGCGGCUCUCACAAGGAGACCCGAAGCAGGAAGUAAUCACAAAGCAAUUGCUGUCCUAAGGCGGCCCCCGCCAGCCCCUGACCUCCGCCAAGUGGUAAACUUUAAUAGUCCUGUUUUCCCCACUUUCCUGAGUGUCCGUCAAUAGAUUUUUCAGGGUCGUGGCAGUCCAGGUCCUUGGAGAGGGAGGGCUGAAGCAGGAUGGAGGGCAGGGCAUUUAUCUUGGGACCAUGUCGGGGAGAUGGCUGGGGAUCAGAGUGAAGGUGCCAGGCUGCAGGGAGCUGAGGGGCUCCAAGGACCUGCCAAGGCUGCUGUGUGGACUUGAGAGCCUAUGUGGUCUGCAGCCAGUGACCUCCCCACUGUCAGAGGCCGAGUAGAGCACUCUCGGAGUGAGCAUGAGGGAUCUAUUUGUACCCACCGUUCCAAACAGGAUUAAAGUGGUUCUCAAAAUGCCCAACUUUUCGUCCUGACAAUGUGUCCUGAGCCUGCCUCUCCCAGCUCCUCUCCAGAAAUCCUGAAGGAAGGGGCAGAUGAUGGAGAGCUUGGAAAGGCGGCAGGACGGGGGCGGACAGGUCAAAAUCCCAGGCCUGGGGCAACAGGCAGCUCAGAUUUGCAGUGAGCUGGGGCUCCAGAGGAGGGAGACCAAGGCCGGCCUGUCUGAACUGCAACUGGCAACAGAGGUGGGCCGUCCAUGGCAUCGUCCUCUGACGGAACCCAAGCCUCUCCCCUAGCACCGGGCUGGCCAGGAGCUGCUCCAGCACUAAGUGGACAGGAAAGACUGUUCCAUGCGCUGAUCCCGUGUUCUCAGAGAAGCCUGUUCCGUGUGCUGAUCCCAUGUUCUUGGAGGAGCCCGUUCUGUGCACUGAUCCCAUGUUCUCGGAGGAGCCCGUUCUGUGUGCUGAUCCCCUGUUCUCAGAGGAUCCCGUUCUGUGUGCUGAUCCCGUGUUCUCAGAGGAGCCCGUUCUGUGCACUGAUCCCAUGUUCUCAGAGGAUCCUGUUCUGCAUGCUGAUCCCAUGUUCUCAGAGGAUUUUGUUCUGUGCGCUGAUCCGUGUUCUCAGAGGAGCCCGUUCUGUGUGCUGAUCCCGUGUUCUCAGAGGAGCCCAUUUUGUGUGCUGAUCCUGUGUUCUCGGAGGAGCCUGUUCUGUGUGCUGAUCCCGUGUUCUCGGAGGAGCCCAUUCUGUGCACUGAUCCCAUGUUCUCAGAGGAUUCUGUUCUGUGUGCUGAUCCCGUGUUCUCAGAGGAUCCUGUUCUGUGUGCUGAUCCCGUGUUCUCAGAGGAUCCUGUUCUGUGUGCUGAUCCCGUGUUCUCGGAGGAGCCCGUUCUGUGCACUGAUCCCAUGUUCUCAGAGGAUUCUGUUCUGUGUGCUGAUCCCGUGUUCUCAGAGGAUCCUGUUCUGUGUGCUGAUCCCGUGGUCUCAGAGGAUUCCGUCCUAUGUGCUGAUCUUGUGUUCUCAGGGGAGCCCGUUUCCGUUUUCAUCUAUUCUGGGGUAAUUUUCUGAUGGUGUGAGUUCUUUGUUUGCCAUUUAUUUCUCCUUGUUUUUGGUGGUAACUGUGUAUAGAUCGUUUUUAUUAUCUCUGAAUGUGGUACAUUCUCUACAGACCUUUCCCUUGCAAAAGGUCCAUGUGGGAGAUGGGUCAAAGCCAUUCUGGAAUCGCAGGAACACCCGGGGUUCUCAGCAAUGGCCUCACACACAUGUCUGUGCACAGGAUGGGCCUGCUCGUGGGUGUGUCCUGGGCAGGCCUCAUGUCCUUGUCACUUUGUGGUGUGAAAUGGGGUUCCAAGAUGGCCAGGUUGCCAGCCCAUGCCCCUGAUCCCAUCUCUGCAUGCUGGAGGCGGUGGGCUCUGAGGCCAGGGAGGUUCAAUGUCCAGUGUCGGCUCUGAGAGCUCCUGGGGGAAGGUCCUCCUCGGCCGUCCCCACAUCUCGGUGGAGUCUUUCUGCUGCUGUGGGCCCUCCUCUGUGCCGAGUGGUCCCAGCCUUUCUUAGCUUGCUCGGAAAUUAUGUCAGCACGUCCCUUCGCUACAUCGAUCAAACAUAUCAAUUCACUCUAAACAUGGCUCCGUGAUUCUCGGCAAGACAUGCAUGGCCUUUACAAAAUGCUGGGGUAGAGAAGCCUGGGUGGGCUUACCAACCCCUGCCCUGAGCUUCCCGGGUCCAGGACAACCGCCGGAGUCCACCUUCUGUGUCUGGCCACAGCGGCCGCUCUUCCCACAUGCAGGCCGGGCAUACAGGAGCCCAGCCCCUUGCAGCAGGCCUCUGGUUGGUGGGGGCAGCGGCACCGCAGCCCUCCCAGGGGCUGACAGCGGCAGGGCAGCCUCCCUCCUCUCGGGCCGCAGCCCUGCAGACUUUCCCUUUCUCGUCUCACCUCCACAGUCUGUUGUUUACAGGAUCAGUUCCCACAGAAGCUGCCUGUACUUGGAGCCUGGACCCAGGUUGCUUUUGUGGAGCUCCCAGGGCGGUGUGCUGUCCUGCUCCCGAGAUGCGCGGGGCUGGACGUCAGUGAGAACUGCUGGGGCAAACUCCCACCUGCCAAAGGGUGCCGGGCCUGUUCAGGACCUUGGGUGGGCCUCAAGCAGUAUGUACCCUGCCUACCUCAUUCAGAAACGACUGAAGAGAAUCACCCAAAAUCCCACGGCCUGACCGCCCAGGCUUGUGGGGUUAAAAGGGGCCAUGAGGCUGUGGCAGGCCUGUCCUCCUGGGCCACAAUGUGCGUCUGCGCCCAGGUCAGGGGUGACGCUGCAGUGGCCCGUGAGUGCCUUUGCAAAGUAAUAUGGACCUUCAUUUCCUCAAGCCACGGCCCAGAGGGGUCUGCAGCGCUCUGCUAGGGGAAAGGGCGCAGCACUGCCCUCUGGGGAGGUGGCAGCAUCUCUCUGAGAAAAGACACAUCUGCUGGCUGUGUCCAGAUCUGGCCAGGGCCCCGAGGAAGGACAGUGACAGAAACUGCUGGAGGAGUGUGGGAGUGGAAACAUUCAGGCUUCCACCCUCCUGCGCGGCAGACCCCCCCCACCGUGAUCGGCCCCCACCCUCCGGCGUGGCGGAUGCCCCCAUGUUCAGCCUCCACCCUCUUCCACAGCAGAUGCCCCCCUGCACCGUGUUCAGCCUCCACCCUCCUGCAUGGGGCUCCUCUGUGUUCAGCCUCCACCCUCCUGCACGGCAGUCCCCCCCGUGUUCAGCCUCCACCCUCCUGCACGGCAGACCCCCCCCGCCAUGUUCAGCGCCCCCCGUCCCCUGUUCAGCUCCCACCCUGUGCUCAGCCUUCACCUUCCUGUGCGGCGGACACCCCAUGUGUGCACUGGUUCUUUUAACGCCACCCUGUGCACGUGCUGUGGAGAGUGGUGUCGGCGUGUGGCUAUGUGCGUGGCGUGGCCACACACCCCUGCCAGGUGUCUGCAUGGCGUAGCCGGCCCAGCAGCUCUGCGCAAUCUGCUCACUUGCAAGCAGGGGGGCCGAGGCUCCAGUGAUACCAUGCAGAGGUCCAGGGCAGCCCGAUUCCGAGGAUGUCCCGCUGGCAGCCAUUACAACAGUGAGGUGAAAACACAGGGCCAGGCCCGCCCUCAGGGUGUCUCGAUGGGCCAAUGACUUCCUCCCUCAUGGCAGGGGUUCAUUCUCUGGAAAGGGUGUUCUUGCCCGCAGCACUGUGCACAUUUUGGGCGGGAUGUUUCUGCCCUGGGAACUGCUGGGUGCUGAGUGAUGUCCCCACGACCCACCCCUUGAUGCCAGGAGUACCUGCCUUGUGACUGUGCCAGCCAGAGGCCUCCAGACACAGCCACGUGUUCCCUGGGACAGACCCACCGUGCUGGGCAUGCCAGGCAUCCCCUACGAGGCAGCCACCUCCUCUGGCAUCUCCCCACCCUUCUCCGUCUCCCCCAGUGCCUGUGGGGUUGUGAGGACCCAUGUGAGACUUUUGUGUUCUCCUCCCUCACUCAGAAAGGUCUGCUUCAAACCUGAGAAAUGACUGCAGAGCGGCUGUAAAAUCCGAACCCUCCCCUCAGGCCCAGAGGAAAAAUGAGCCACUUCCCUUUCUUGGCACUUUUGCCGUGAGCCUUGGACAAGCUCCCGGGUCUGGCCUCCGCCCAAGCAGCCGGUCCCUCCCAGGGGCCUCCCUGUCGGGCUUCCUCGUUCUAAAUGGAGGUGGAGACGCCACGGCAGACACGGCCAUGGGGUUUUGAGAGCAGGCCCCACCUGACGUGGGAGACUUGCUUUCUCGGUAGUGCGGGAAUAGCCGCGUUGCAAAGGCUGCGUCUGGAGGGGCAGCUCUGCGGCUUAGCACGUCGGUUUUCUACAAAUACCAUUUCUACUGCAGAAAGGCCUCGGGUGUGCGUGGAGUCCAAAACAGACCGUCUAGACGGACUCCUACUGUCUGACCCUUGAUGUUCCUCAUCCACGCGGCCGUGCCAAGCAGGUCGGCCCUUGAGAGGUGAUGAAAAACCUGCUAAACAGCACAGAGAAGCCCUUCCCGUGGGGCGCACAGCAUUCACCCAAGGACAAGCCCUUCCCGUGGGGCGCACAGCAUUCGCCCGAGGAGAAGACCUUCCCGUGGGGUGCACAGCAUUCACCCAAGGACAAGCCCUUCCCGUGGGGCGCACAGCAUUCACCCAAGGACAAGCCCUUCCCAUGGGGCGCACAGCAUUCGCCCGAGGAGAAGCCCUUCCCGUGGGGUGCACAGCAUUCACCCGAGGAGAAGCCUUUCCCGUGGGGUGCACAGCAUUCACCCGAGGAGAAGCCUUUCCUGUGGGGUGCACAGCAUUCACCUGAGGAGCCCACGCAGGCCGCACUGUCGGCCCACAGAGGGGAAGCCAAGGCGGGAGCCUGAUGACUCGCCCCAGGCCUCAGAGCUGCACCAGACGUUCCCACCACUAAGGCCACAGUCUCUUCAGGUUCUGCCUAACGCUCUCAAUUACGGUUCUCUUAAUAAAGAAUAUUUGUGGAGAAAACA